AUUGGUGCUCUAACAGCGGCACUGACCUUUCCAUAGUAAUUAGUAAGUGCUAUUUGUUGGGGUAGUUUAA
This is a microRNA precursor of Astyanax mexicanus (Mexican tetra), 70 nucleotides long. It matches the Rfam family "miR-430 microRNA precursor family". The record is from Rfam. Lineage: Eukaryota; Metazoa; Chordata; Actinopteri; Characiformes; Acestrorhamphidae.